GUGCACUCGCGCGACGACGAGCUCCAUACACUCAGAGAAUCAGUCUGAAGCAAAGAUCCUAUAGCGGAGCAAGAUAGGCCACUCCUGCGAAAUACAAUGGGCUGACGUGUAGUACGCUACGGAGGGGGUCCUGGGCAUUUUUCCCCGCCCAUUUUAGUAACCGGAACCUACCCGACCCGACUCGCAGUGUAAUCAACGUUGCGGGGGAACAGUUUGUGUGUGUGAUAUAGGGAUCUUUGAUCUAAAUAUACUGCAUCCAUCAUCAUCUAUGCUGCAAGGUAUAUCCUCAACUUUUAUUACAUUUAUCAAACAUAAUUUCCCUUUCAUUAAAGCAAAUCUUUAAUU
Amblyraja radiata (thorny skate) is the source of this 345-nucleotide long non-coding RNA. RefSeq lists it as uncharacterized. The transcript has 2 exons. NCBI's taxonomy places the organism in Eukaryota, Metazoa, Chordata, Chondrichthyes, Rajiformes, Rajidae. The record is from RefSeq and is a predicted model, not a curated record.